This 630-nucleotide ribosomal RNA is filed under the name uncultured ciliate. RNAcentral describes it as "SSU rRNA". It matches the Rfam family "Eukaryotic small subunit ribosomal RNA", at positions 326 to 971 of the family's 1831-position model. The record is from RNAcentral. Lineage: Eukaryota; Ciliophora.
UGGUAGUGUAUUGGACAACCAUGGCAGUCACGGGUAACGGAGAAUUAGGGUUCGAUUCCGGAGAGGGAGCCUGAGAAACGGCUACCACAUCUACGGAAGGCAGCAGGCGCGUAAAUUACCCAAUCCCGAUUCGGGGAGGUAGUGACAAGAAAUAACAACUCGGGCGGCGCAAGCCGUUGCGAGAUUGCAAUGGGUACAAUUUAAAACACUUAACGAGUAACAAUUGGAGGGCAAGUCUGGUGCCAGCAGCCGCGGUAAUUCCAGCUCCAAUAGCGUAUAUUAAAGUUGUUGCAGUUAAAAAGCUCGUAGUCGAAGUUCUGGCUGGUCCUGUUUCCGGCUUCGGUCGACUCAGGACCUAGUCAUCCGUCGGAGAACCCUUGUCGUCCUUUACUGGUCGCUUGAGGGAACUGACCCUUUACUUUGAAAAAAUUAGAGUGUUUCAGGCAGGCUCUCGCCCGAAUACUCCAGCAUGGAAUAAUGGAAUAGGACUUUCUUCUAUUUUGUUGGUUAUUAGUGGAAAGUAAUGAUUAAUAGGGACAGUUGGGGGCAUUCGUACUUAAUUGUCAGAGGUGAAAUUCUUGGAUUUAUUAAAGACGAACUAAUGCGAAAGCAUUUGCCAAGGAUGUUUUC